RNAcentral lists this ribosomal RNA (1307 nucleotides) under metagenome. RNAcentral's name for it is "SSU rRNA". It matches the Rfam family "Eukaryotic small subunit ribosomal RNA", at positions 483 to 1783 of the family's 1831-position model. The record is from RNAcentral.
AUACCGGGCCUUUUUGGGCUUGGUAAUUGGAAUUAGGGAGAGUUAAACGGACCAUCGAGUAUCCAUUGGAGGGCAAGUCUGGUGCCAGCAGCUGCGGUAAUACCAGCUCCAAUAGCGUAUAUUAAAGUUGUUGCAGUUAAAAAGCUCGUAGUUGGACUUGUGUGCGCUGUCCGCGGGUGGCCUGCGCCCAAAAGGGCGUUCCGGUUCGGCCCCGGUGGCGCCUUGAAAUCUGCAGCUGGGGGGACGUUGGCCUUAACUGGUCGGCGACCGCACGCCGGCUGCUCGGUUACUGUGAGAAAAUUAGAGUGUUCAAGGCAGGCAUUGGGUGCAAUUGAAUACAUUAGCAUGGAAUAAUAAAAUAUGGCUCCUGCCGUAUUUUGUUGGUUUUGACUGGUGGGAGUAAUGAUUGAUAGGGACGGUUGGGGGUGCUAGUAUUGAGCGGCCAGAGGUGAAAUUCAUGGAUUCGCUCAAGACUAACUUAUGCGAAAGCAUUCACCAAGGACGUCCUCUUUAAUCAAGAACGAAAGUUGGGGGAUCGAAGACGAUCAGAUACCGUCGUAGUCUCAACCAUAAACUAUGUCGACUUGGGAUCGGCGGUAGUUUUUUCAUUAAGACACUGUCGGGACCACGGGAGAAAUCAAAGUGUCUGGACUCUGGGGGAAGUAUGGUCGCAAGGCUGAAACUUGAAGGAAUUGACGGAAGGGCACCACCAGGAGUGGAGCCUGCGGCUUAAUUUGACCCAACACGGGGAAACUUACCAGGUCCAGAGAUGUAGAGGAUUGACAGAUUGAAGCUCUUUCUUGAUCACUUCGGUGGUGGUGCAUGGCCGUUCUUAGUUGGUGGAGUGAUUUGUCUGGUUAAUUCCGUUAACGAACGAGACCUCAGCCUGCUAGUGUAGUCGGCUGGAUUGCCUUUGGCGAUCCGUGAUUUCGACUUCUUAGAGGGACAAUCGACGCGCAGUCGAUGGAAGUUUGAGGCAAUAACAGGUCUGUGAUGCCCUUAGAUGUUCUGGGCCGCACGCGCGCUACACUGCUGGGCUCAGCGAGUUUUACUUGGCCGAGAGGCCCGGUUAAUCUUGUGAAAUCCCAGCGUGCUUGGGCUCGCCUCCUGCAACUGGAGGCGCCAACGAGGAAUUCCUAGUAGACGCAGGUCAUCAACCUGCAUCGAUUACGUCCCUGCCCUUUGUACACACCGCCCGUCGUUCCAUAAGAGUGAGGCAUCCGGUGAAUUCUCGGGAGAGCCUGGGCGUGGCCAGCAAUGGUCUGCUCGGGUUUGAACUUGCAUAAACUUGGUGCCUAUGAUUAGGG